Molecule: ribosomal RNA, 423 nt
Filed under: uncultured bacterium
Lineage: Bacteria
Description: partial 16S ribosomal RNA
Rfam family: Bacterial small subunit ribosomal RNA
Source: RNAcentral
UAAUUUUGUACAAUGGGCGAAAGCCUGAUCCAGCAACGCCGCGUGCAGGAUGAAGCCCUUCGGGUUGUAAACUGCUUUUGUACGGAACGAAAAGCUUUGGGUUAAUAUCUUGGAGGUAUGACGGUACCGUAAGAAUAACCACCCACUACCUACGUGCCAGAAGCCGCGGUAAUACGUAGGGUGCAAGCGUUAAUCGGAAUUACUGGGCGUAAAGCGUGCGCAGGCGGUUUUGUAAGACAGAGGUGAAAUCCCCGGGCUCAACCUGGGAACUGCCUUUGUGACUGAAAGGCUAGAGUACGGCAGAGGGGGGUGGAAUUCCGCGUGUAGCAGUGAAAUGCGUAGAUAUGCGGAGGAACACCGAUGGCGAAGGCAACCCCCUGGGCCUGUACUGACGCUCAUGCACGAAAGCGUGGGGAGCAAACA